Molecule: small nuclear RNA, 106 nt
Filed under: Castor canadensis (American beaver)
Lineage: Eukaryota; Metazoa; Chordata; Mammalia; Rodentia; Castoridae
Source: RNAcentral
GUGCUCACUUCGGCAGCACAUACAGUAAAACAGAAACAUAGAGGUAAGGCCUGCAUGGUCCCUGCACAAGGAUGACAUGCAAAUUCGUGAGGCGUCCCAUACUUUG